GAGAACUUAGCAGAGAUGCUUUGGUGCCUUCGGGAACUCUGAGACAGGUGCUGCAUGGCUGUCGUCAGCUCGUGUUGUGAAAUGUUGGGUUAAGUCCCGCAACGAGCGCAACCCUUUAUCCUUUGUUGCCAGCGGUUCGGCCGGGAACUCAAAGGAGACUGCCGGUGAUAAACCGGAGGAAGGUGGGGAUGACGUCAAGUCAUCAUGGCCCUUACGGCCAGGGCUACACACGUGCUACAAUGGCGCAUACAAAGAGAAGCGACCUCGCGAGAGCAAGCGGACCUCAUAAAGUGCGUCGUAGUCCGGAUUGGAGUCUGCAACUCGACUCCAUGAAGUCGGAAUCGCUAGUAAUCGUAGAUCAGAAUGCUACGGUGAAUACGUUCCCGGGCCUUGUACACACCGCCCGUCACACCAUGGGAGUGGGUUGCAAAAGAAGUAGGUAGCUUAACCUUCGGGAGGGCGCUUACCACUUUGUGAUUCAUGACUGGGGUGAAGUCGUAACAAGGUAGGCGUAGCGAG
RNAcentral lists this ribosomal RNA (519 nucleotides) under uncultured bacterium. RNAcentral's name for it is "bacterial SSU rRNA". It matches the Rfam family "Bacterial small subunit ribosomal RNA", at positions 991 to 1509 of the family's 1533-position model. The record is from RNAcentral.